Phrynosoma platyrhinos (Desert horned lizard) is the source of this 73-nucleotide non-coding RNA. NCBI's taxonomy places the organism in Eukaryota, Metazoa, Chordata, Lepidosauria, Squamata, Phrynosomatidae. The record is from the annotation of a GenBank genome assembly.
UGCUUUUUAGCGUAGUGGUUUGAGUGCUGGAUUACAACUCUGGAGGCCAGGGUUCGAUUCCCCAGUCAACCAU